UUAGUCAAAGGGCUACAAUGUGGCCCCUUUGAAGAGUCUGUUCACCAUGCGAUGUACUUUUCUUCUUCGCGCCCCCUCCGAGCAUCUCCCGCUUCACCCCUUGUUUGAUGUUUCUUGGACAUUUUGUUAAAAAAUAUAUAAAUAAAUAUGAAGACAACAGUACACAGACGCUUUUGAAAAACAGAGAAAUAGGACGAGCCUUUUUUGCGGACACACACAUGCAUUCUUGAAAACCUCCUCAGAGGAGCGAAAGUAAGAUAGCAGGGGAGGAAGAGAGAAUGAAAGAUGAGGACGAAGAGCAAAUACGAGAUUAAGAGGGAGAGAGAGAGAAAGAAAGAGAGCUGGAAAGAAUGAGAGAGAGAGAGAGACUCUCCUCCCUUCGGCAGCAGCGCUUGUGUCUCUUUCAUGUCCACCAUGCUUGGAUCUGAGGCUUCGUCUCCCAGCUGGGCCUGGUGUGCAUGUGUGCAGCUAAGUGCCGGCUAAUUUCCCCUUGGAUCUCCCGGCCGGAGCCUAGGAUUUCUCCCCCAACAACGCCACCCCACAAACACCACUGCCUCGGUCCCCUGUCCAUGUGAAGAGGAGAUGGGAAAGGGGCAGAUUUGGCAGCGAUGGGCGAACAGGAGCUCCUUCCAUAUAAUGAGAAUCCACUACGAAAAAGACACUGUGCAGUGCUCCGUUUCCAGGGAACAUAACAUGGGACCGCACUCUAGCAGCAGAACUUCUACGGCGCAUCUUUGAAAUGGGAAGAAGAAAGGUAACGGGAAAAAAGGAUGGAUCAGUGGUGUCUCUCACUUUGACUACAAAAGAGUGAAGGAGGAAAAACUUCAUUAUACGGGCGAGUGACAGAAAGUGUGGCGCACGACGACAGAGAGACACACAGAACGAGGGGGGCUUUUUUUCCUCUCUGCCCACCUCUGUUUCAUGUCUGUGUCGCUGAAAAAAACAAAGAAGGCAUCUCUGUGGACCGCUCUAUCCAGAGCACAGACACACACACACGACCCCGGAUCUCAUAAACAAUGCUACCAACGAUCAACUGUCAAUUUUAUUCAGCAUCUUACUCGGCCGUAAUCACAGCGUCGCCCAC
This is a long non-coding RNA of Gasterosteus aculeatus aculeatus (three-spined stickleback), 1084 nucleotides long. Lineage: Eukaryota; Metazoa; Chordata; Actinopteri; Perciformes; Gasterosteidae. The record is from Ensembl.